Molecule: long non-coding RNA, 939 nt
Organism: Zingiber officinale
Lineage: Eukaryota; Viridiplantae; Streptophyta; Magnoliopsida; Zingiberales; Zingiberaceae
Exons: 5
Source: RefSeq, a predicted model, not a curated record
GAUGGAAUUGCACAAGCUAGCAGAUAUGCUACUGAGGAUUCAAUUAAGUCAUGGCUUAAUGAAUUACUUUGCUUGGUUGUUGCAAGUUACAUUCCAAAUAUCACUAUGUUAGUAUUCUUGAUGAAAAGUAAAUAAUUGUUUUUCAGGUCAUUCUCUAAAUGAUCUUUUAUUUGUCUAGACUUCCACAUCCAAGUGAAUGUGCCCUUUACUAUGUCAACCGAGAUAUACUUUUCUAAUAUCACAAGGAGAGUGAGAUAUGUUUAUAGGUUUGUCUCUCCAUUGUGGAAUUCAAUGAUAUUUUUUCUCCUCGUAGAGAGAAGACUACACUCGAGCAUGAGCCUAGCUUGUGGUUGCUGCAGUUGGCUUCAAGGCAAGAAGGCCUGAGAUCACAAGUACUGUAAAUAGACAUGUGGCUACCAUAAUUGAGUCCUGUUGGGCCAGGUAUAGAUAUCUAUUGCCUGAUGCAGGCAUGGUUAUUAAAUAUUAACAUACUUCUUCACUCGUGCUUCCCCACACACUAACUUAAAUCACAUGUUGAGCUUCAGCGAGCCAUGGAAAAGGCCUUCUUUUUCUAGUAUCAUGGAAUCCUUGAAGCCUCUAAUCAAGACUCAGUCACCUCAACCGUUACAUUCUGAUAUGUCUAGUAUCCAAUAGCCAGAUGAUUGUAUAUUCCUAAGAGAGAUGUGUAUUGUAUCUAUUCUACUUGUCAAAAAGGGUCCCCUUCAAAUUUUGCCUGUCAGAGGAUCAGUGCCAAUGAAGCAGCUGCCAGUUUUCAUUGCAUCACCGCCAACACGAUCGAUCUAAUCAGCUAUAGAUAUUUUUCAGAAAGAGCACAAGCCUUUUGAGGUUGUGUUGCAAUUUCAGACUGAUAUCAGCAUGGAACUUGUAUAUCGCCAGCCUUUUACCGUCAGUUAUCUAAUCAAAUGUGUGCAUUCUGAA